This is a small nuclear RNA of Hibiscus syriacus, 115 nucleotides long. RefSeq annotates it as U5 spliceosomal RNA. The transcript has a single exon. The record is from RefSeq and is a predicted model, not a curated record. Lineage: Eukaryota; Viridiplantae; Streptophyta; Magnoliopsida; Malvales; Malvaceae.
AGCCAUGCAGUGAUCACAAAGUGAACUAUUCUUUCGCCUUUUACUAAAGAAUACCGUGUGCUUGCUGCUCAGAGUGGCAUACGCCAAUUUUUGGAGGGUUAUUUCUUUGGAAUAA